This 388-nucleotide ribosomal RNA is filed under the name Polykrikos sp. RNAcentral describes it as "partial small subunit ribosomal RNA". It matches the Rfam family "Eukaryotic small subunit ribosomal RNA", at positions 582 to 975 of the family's 1831-position model. Lineage: Eukaryota; Dinophyceae; Gymnodiniales; Gymnodiniaceae. The record is from RNAcentral.
AUUCCAGCUCCAGUAGCGUAUGUUAAAGUUGUUGCGGUUAAAUAGUUCGUGGUUGGAUUUUUGCUAGGGACGAUCGGUCCACCCACUGGGUGUGUAUCUGUCUCGGCCUUGGCACCUUCCUGGCGAACGCAACUGCACUUGACUGUGUGGUCCGGUAUCCAGGACUUUUGCUUUGAGGGGAUUCGAGUGUUUCAGGCAGGCGCACGCCUUGAAUACAUUAGCAUGGCAUAAUGAGACAGGACCUGAGUUCUAUGUUGUUGGUUUUUAUAGCUGAGGUAAUGAUUAAUAGGGGUAGUUGGGGGUAUUCGCAUUUAACAGUCAGAGGUGAACUUCUUGGAUUUGUUAAAGACGGACUAAUGCGAAAGCAUUUGCCAAGGAUGUUUCAUUA